This 279-nucleotide ribosomal RNA is filed under the name uncultured bacterium. Its description in RNAcentral is "partial 16S ribosomal RNA". It matches the Rfam family "Bacterial small subunit ribosomal RNA", at positions 506 to 784 of the family's 1533-position model. The record is from RNAcentral.
UGCCAGCCGCCGCGGUAAUACGAGGGGUGCUAGCGUUGUCCGGAAUCAUUGGGCGUAAAGGGUCCGUAGGCGAUCUAACAAGUCAACUGUUAAAUACAUCGGCUUAACCGAUGAAAUGCAGUUGAAACUGUUAGAAUAGAGUUUAGGAGAGGAAAGUGGAAUUUCUGGUGUAGCGGUGACAUGCGCAGAUAUCAGAAGGAACACCAAUGGCGAAGGCAACUUUCUGGCCUAAAACUGACGCUGAGGGACGAAAGCGUGGGUAGCGAAGAGGAUUAGAUA